UAUCUCUGUAGAGUCUGCAUAUCAAUAAGCGGAGGAAAAGAAACUAACUAGGAUUCCCUUAGUAACGGCGAGUGAAGCGGGAAGAGCUCAAAUUUGAAAUCUUCAAGGUUUUACCUUGACGAAUUGUAGUUUAAAGAAGUGUUUUCUGUUGGUGUUUUGGUAAAAGUUCUUUGGAAUAGGACAUCAUAGAGGGUGAGAAUCCCGUAUUUGACCAUUACUUCCAGCGUUGUGAUACACUUUCAAAGAGUCGGAUUGUUUGGGAAUGCAGUCCAAAAUGGGUGGUAAAUUUCAUCUAAAGCUAAAUAUUGGCGAGAGACCGAUAGCGAACAAGUACCGUGAGGGAAAGAUGAAAAGAACCUUGAAAAGAGAGUUAAACAGUACGUGAAAUUGUCAAAAGGGAAGCGUUUGACACCAGUGUUGUUUUCUCGAAAAUCAAUUAAAAAAAGUUGGAUUUUGUAUUGUUAAGACCUUAUCAGCUUACUGUACUCUUUUCUUGCUUUUUUUAAUGCACUUUUUGUUUAACAAGUCAACAUCAAUUUCUUUUGUUGUAAAAGAGUCAUUGGAAGGUGGCUUUCACUUCGGUGAAAGUGUUUAUAGCCUUUGGCUUCUGCAAUCGGAGAGAUUGAGGUCUGCAGCGUAGAUCCUUCGGGGCUAGAUACGUAGAUGCUAAGUUAUAGUUUUUUAUAGACAACUUGUUGACUAUAAUUAAUCAUGUAGCUUACUCGUUUGCGCUAUUUUACCUACGCUUAGGAUGUUGACGAUCAGCUGAGCGCG
This 774-nucleotide ribosomal RNA is filed under the name uncultured Neocallimastigales. RNAcentral's name for it is "partial large subunit ribosomal RNA". It matches the Rfam family "Eukaryotic large subunit ribosomal RNA", at positions 24 to 634 of the family's 3401-position model. The record is from RNAcentral. Lineage: Eukaryota; Fungi; Neocallimastigomycota; Neocallimastigomycetes; Neocallimastigales.